This 1401-nucleotide ribosomal RNA is filed under the name uncultured bacterium. Its description in RNAcentral is "bacterial SSU rRNA". It matches the Rfam family "Bacterial small subunit ribosomal RNA". The record is from RNAcentral.
UUAGAGUUUGAUCCUGGCUCAGGAUGAACGCUAGCGGCAGGCUUAACACAUGCAAGUCGAGGGGCAGCGAGAUCAGUGCUUGCACUGAUUGUCGGCGACCGGCGCACGGGUGCGUAACGCGUAUGCAACCUACCCAUUACAGGGGGGAUAACACUGAGAAAUCGGUACUAAUACCCCAUAACAUCCAGGGAGGCAUCUUCUUGGGUUGAAAACUCCGGUGGUAAUGGAUGGGCAUGCGUUGUAUUAGUUAGUUGGUGGGGUAACGGCUCACCAAGACAACGAUACAUAGGGGGACUGAGAGGUUAACCCCCCACAUUGGUACUGAGACACGGACCAAACUCCUACGGGAGGCAGCAGUGAGGAAUAUUGGUCAAUGGACGCAAGUCUGAACCAGCCAUGCCGCGUGCAGGAAGACGGCUCUAUGAGUUGUAAACUGCUUUUGUACGAGGGUAAACGCAGAUACGCGUAUCUGUCUGAAAGUAUCGUACGAAUAAGGAUCGGCUAACUCCGUGCCAGCAGCCGCGGUAAUACGGAGGAUUCAAGCGUUAUCCGGAUUUAUUGGGUUUAAAGGGUGCGUAGGCGGUCGGAUAAGUUAGAGGUGAAAUCCCGGGGCUCAACUUCGGAAUUGCCUCUGAUACUGUUCGGCUAGAGAGUAGUUGCGGUAGGCGGAAUGUAUGGUGUAGCGGUGAAAUGCUUAGAGAUCAUACAGAACACCGAUUGCGAAGGCAGCUUACCAAGCUACUUCUGACGUUGAGGCACGAAAGCGUGGGGAGCAAACAGGAUUAGAUACCCUGGUAGUCCACGCAGUAAACGAUGAUAACUCGUUGUCGGCGAUACAGUGUCGGUGACUAAGCGAAAGCGAUAAGUUAUCCACCUGGGGAGUACGUUCGCAAGAAUGAAACUCAAAGGAAUUGACGGGGGCCCGCACAAGCGGAGGAACAUGUGGUUUAAUUCGAUGAUACGCGAGGAACCUUACCCGGGCUUGAAAGUUAGUGACGGAUCUUGAAAGAGGUCUUCCCUUCGGGGCACGAAACUAGGUGCUGCAUGGUUGUCGUCAGCUCGUGCCGUGAGGUGUCGGGUUAAGUCCCAUAACGAGCGCAACCCCUACCGUUAGUUGCCAGCAGGUCAAGCUGGGCACUCUGACGGGACUGCCGGUGUAAGCCGAGAGGAAGGUGGGGAUGACGUCAAAUCAGCACGGCCCUUACGUCCGGGGCUACACACGUGUUACAAUGGCAGGUACAGAGGGCAGCUACCCAGCGAUGGGAUGCGAAUCUCGAAAGCCUGUCUCAGUUCGGAUUGGAGGCUGAAACCCGCCUCCAUGAAGUUGGAUUCGCUAGUAAUCGCGCAUCAGCCAUGGCGCGGUGAAUACGUUCCCGGGCCUUGCACACAACGCCCGUCAAG